AACAUAUUGUUAUACAUUAUUCUAAUAAUGUUUAUCAAAGGAUACGUAACAGGUUAAAAUUAUGUAAUAAAGUGAAUAUAGGGGUACAAAAUAAAUGAAUGUAUACCCAUUAAUCACUUAGAUUACUUAUUACAGCCUAUGACAGUAAGAAACAAUUAACAUAAGAUAUACACUAUGAAGGGUAACAAUAACAUACUUACCUAUCCUGAACGGAGUAUCCUCAGCAACAAUGAUGAGUUUGAAUACAGGUAUAAUUAUAUUUAUUUAUUAAGUUGAUUAAAAUAGGUAGUAGGAAUGAUAAAAUAAACACUUGAUUAAAUUAAAAAUGAUGAUAUUGGAAUGUUAGAAGCCAGAACAAAACGCACUCACGGAAAGACAAAAAGAAGACGACGAGUCGCCAGGAUCCAGUGGCCGAAUGAGUCGAGAAGUCUCUUAUGAGAUAGAAAGGGGAAAAUAGUGGAGUGGUGUUGUCCGGUUCUUAUUAUCAUGAUUUAUUAUUAUAUGAGAUAUUUAACUGUAAUACAUACUAUUUGUAUUAAUAUAAA
Molecule: non-coding RNA, 545 nt
Organism: Cinara cedri
Lineage: Eukaryota; Metazoa; Arthropoda; Insecta; Hemiptera; Aphididae
Source: the annotation of a GenBank genome assembly